AUGAGCCGCCUUGCUGAAAUAAAUUUCAGCAAGGCGCCUUGCAAAAUAAAUUGUUGUUGAAUUCAGGAGAGUGCCUAUUCAGCAUGCUCCUCUGAGCAUCAAUGGAGCGACUGUGGAGAGCUCUGUGUGAGCAGCACCAAGUUCCCUUUCAGUCGGUCACGGUCACCCAGGGGUUUUGCAGGAGGCGCGCACUGCUACCGACCUCGCUCUCCGAGCGACGAAGGUCACUGCGCGCUCCUUGGGUCAGGUAAUGUCCACUUUGGUGGUCCAGGAGCGCCACCUAUGGCUGAACCUGGCAGACAUGAGGGAGUCUGAUCGGGCUCAGCUCCUCAACUCCCCGGUCUCCCAGGAUGGCCUUCAGACACAUCCUGCCCCGGCGGCCCACUGCUGCUUCCACCCCGCCGCCGGCGCAACCUCAGCCUGCUCGUCGCCGAGGGCACCCCCUGGCAAAACGGCGUUCCUGAGAAGGCGACCUGGAGUUGGAGACGUCAGCUCAUCAGGAGAUGGUAGCAGGACCACUCCUUCCCCCGGAGGAGGGCUGGGGGAGAAUCCUUUGUUCUUGAUUUCUUUUUGUUCCGCCACUGGCCCUGCGGCCGGUUGUACCCAAACCUUCACUAAAAGUGCUGUUUCCUCUACCUCCAGGUCCCAAGAGGCCAAGAACGACAGGUGGCGUGCUUCCUCGCCGCUCUCGUUCUCCUCUCCCCUUGCCAGUUUCCAUGCAAUGACGGCUCAAGAAUGCUUCGCCUUCUCAUGCCCUCUUUGCCACUUGGAGUCAGACGAGUGCCCGCACUCCGCCCCCGCAAUGGGACGCUAUGUCUCCCAUGCCGGGGCUCUCUGCUCCACCACGCUGCCCCACUGUGGGUACGCCUGUAGUCCUCUUGACCCCGUUGGUUUGGUUGCUGGGAGCCUGGCUAGAGCUCCCCAGGCCUUCCCGCUGGCUCAUCCGGACACUCAGGCUCGGCUUCGCGAUUCAGUUCGCCCGGCGUCCCCCCAGGUUUUGGGGUGUCCACGCGAUGAUGGUGGG
This 1024-nucleotide long non-coding RNA is filed under the name Carassius auratus (goldfish). Its description in RNAcentral is "lncRNA (ENSCARG00000063531.1)". The record is from RNAcentral. Lineage: Eukaryota; Metazoa; Chordata; Actinopteri; Cypriniformes; Cyprinidae.